AUCCAAGAUUUUCAUUUCAUCAGGUCAUGGACAUACAUGAGUAUCCUAGAUUAGUAGACAUUCUUGGAAUUGUUAUCAGUAAAUGCAUCAGGGCAUGGAUUUCUCAUUGGAGCUAUCAUCUUGAACCAUAAUUUGCGUUAGCUGCCAUGGCGGUAAUGGAUUAUUGAAACAUGGCGUCUAUCCGAAACCAAUUUGUUAAACUGGGGUUUACCGUAUAUUCUUGCUAGCUGGAUAAUAUUUAUAACCACGGAUGAAUGAUAUUACACCAAGUAAUGAUGUUGCAAGGGAGCUUAUCCGGUUUUGCCGAAGGUCGCCUCCACGUGGCUAACAUUGAACUCACCAUGUCGGAUUACAGCAAUGCUGCCACUGUUGCGAAUGCCCAAACAAUGUAAAUUAUGUCUAAAUCCAUUAGUAGUAUAUCAAAACUCCAAGAUCCCCAGGGCCUGCAUUCUAUAUGUUCAC
Long non-coding RNA from Lolium rigidum, 462 nucleotides. RefSeq lists it as uncharacterized. NCBI's taxonomy places the organism in Eukaryota, Viridiplantae, Streptophyta, Magnoliopsida, Poales, Poaceae. The transcript is spliced from 3 exons. The record is from RefSeq and is a predicted model, not a curated record.